Molecule: ribosomal RNA, 654 nt
Filed under: Triticum aestivum (bread wheat)
Lineage: Eukaryota; Viridiplantae; Streptophyta; Magnoliopsida; Poales; Poaceae
Description: partial small subunit ribosomal RNA
Source: RNAcentral
AUGGCCACCUGCCUCUCUGAUAUUAUUAGUGACCAUUCCAUCGAUUUCCUAGGGUUACAUGAAACCUUGAAAAAGGACUUUUCUCCCAAACUUCUUAGAAGACUUGACCCUUUUAGCUCUUUUCAUUGGGAAUGGAUUCCUGCUAUUGGUAAAUCUGGGGGCAUCCUCUGUGGGAUUCGCAGCAGCAACCUGGAGUUGUUGAAAUGCAUUAAGGGGAAAUAUAUCUUAUAGUUGAAUGUUAAAGAUCUUAGAACCAAAAAAUGGAGUCUCCUGGUGGUUUAUGGAUCUGCUCAUGAGGAGCAUAGGGAGGAUUUCCUGAUGGAACUGGCUUCUUUCUGCCAUAACACUGAUAUCCCUUAUAUUGUUGGGGGCGAUUUUAACAUUCUGAGACACACUGGUGAGAAAAAUAAAAAGUUGCAUAGGUCCAAAUCAACUGAUCUUUUCAACUCCAUCAUCAAUACUCUAGGCCUUAGGGAAAUUUAUAUGAGUGGGGGGAAGUACACCUGGUCUAACAACCAAUCCCACCCCACACUCGAGAGACUUGAUAGGGUACUAAUGUCUGACUCUUGGGAGGAACUGUUCCCCAUGGUCUCCAUGAGAAAACUGGUCAGAGAACUAUCUGACCACAAUCCUCUCUUGAUAUACACUGAAGGG